AUACCAGCACCUCAAGUGGUCAGGAUGAUUAUUGGGCCUAAAGCAUCCGUAGCCGGCUCUGUAAGUUUUCGGUUAAAUCUGUACGCUCAACGUACAGGCUGUUGGGAAUACUGCAGAGCUAGGGAGUGGGAGAGGUAGAUGGUACUCGGGAGGAAGUGGUAAAAUGCUUUGAUCUCUCGAUGACCACCUGUGGCGAAGGCGGUCUACCAGAACACGUCCGACGGUGAGGGAUGAAAGCUGGGGGAGCAAACCGGAUUAGAUACCCGAGUAGUCC
RNAcentral lists this ribosomal RNA (274 nucleotides) under uncultured bacterium. RNAcentral describes it as "partial 16S ribosomal RNA". It matches the Rfam family "Archaeal small subunit ribosomal RNA", at positions 473 to 747 of the family's 1478-position model. The record is from RNAcentral.